Non-coding RNA from Trichophaea hybrida, 72 nucleotides. Lineage: Eukaryota; Fungi; Ascomycota; Pezizomycetes; Pezizales; Pyronemataceae. The record is from the annotation of a GenBank genome assembly.
GGCUGCGUGGCUCAAUGGUAGAGCGUAGUCCUCCUAAGACUAAGGCUGCAGGUUCGAGUCCUGCCGUGGUCG